CACGUAGGGCGCAAGCGUUGUCCGGAAUUAUUGGGCGUAAAGAGCUCGUAGGCGGUUUGUUGCGUCGGCUGUGAAAUCCCGAGGCUCAACCUCGGGUCUGCAGUCGAUACGAGCAGACUAGAGUGUUGCAGGGGAGACUGGAAUUCCUGGUGUAGCGGUGAAAUGCGCAGAUAUCAGGAGGAACACCGGUGGCGAAGGCGGGUCUCUGGGCAACAACUGACGCUGAGGAGCGAAAGCGUGGGGAGCGAACAGG
This 253-nucleotide ribosomal RNA is filed under the name uncultured bacterium. RNAcentral's name for it is "partial 16S ribosomal RNA". It matches the Rfam family "Bacterial small subunit ribosomal RNA", at positions 524 to 776 of the family's 1533-position model. The record is from RNAcentral.